Molecule: long non-coding RNA, 1168 nt
Filed under: Camarhynchus parvulus
Lineage: Eukaryota; Metazoa; Chordata; Aves; Passeriformes; Thraupidae
Description: lncRNA (ENSCPVG00000017539.1)
Source: RNAcentral
CCAGUCCCUCCUCCCCGCAGGGGCUUUGGGGUGGGGAUUUGGGGAUUUGGGAUGGCCUGAUCCCGGUGCUCCCAGUGCUCCCAGUUCCUCAUCCCCACAGGGGCUUUGGGGUGAGGAUUUGGGGAUUUGGGAUCCCCUGAUCCCGGUGCUCCCUCCCCCUUUGGGGGUGCUGGCCCGGUGCUCCCGUGCUCCCGUUCCUCACCAGGGGCUGGGGUGAGGGGGGGGGGGGGGGGCCCCCCCCGCCCCCCCCCGCCCCCCCCCCUCCCCCCCGAGGGAGAGGGUGAGCGUGGCUCCGUGGGCGAGCGGGGUCUGCCGGGAAUGCCAGGACAGCCGGGACCCCCAGGACACCCAGGACCACCGGUGAGCACAGCAGGACCCUGCACCCCGGAGCGUGGGGACCUCGGGGGUGGCCCCGUGGUGUCACCACCUCACACUGUCCCUUUUGUCCCCAUAGGGAGAGCAGGGACCGGACGGACCCGUUGGGAAGGAGGGACCCCCAGGAAAACCGGGCAUUGCGGGCCCGGCCGGACAGAAGGUGAGGCUGUGCCAGCUGCCAGUGCCACCACGGCCACCACGCUGUCCCAGCACACCAGGGCUGACCUUUCCCAUCCACAGGGUGACGCUGGAGCCCCCGGCGAGCGCGGCUACCCCGGCGAGAAGGGCAGAGCUGGGAUGCCGGGCGGGCCGGGCAAAAGCGGCUCCAUGGGGCUGGUGGGGCCGCGGGGCCCCGCAGGAGAGAGGGGACCCCCGGGCUCGCCCGGCCCCGCGGGCAGCCCCGGCCUGCCGGGACCCCCGGGCAUGGUGGUAAGGACAGUGGGUGGCCCUGGCGGGGGGCAGGAUGAUGUCCUUGUGGUGGCCGUGUCCCCUCGAGUGUCCAAUCGUGUGUCCCCUUGGGUGUCCCCUCCUGUGUCCCUUCGUGUGUCCUCUCGUGUGUCCCCUCAUGUCCCCUUGUGUGUCCCUUGUGUGUCCCCUCCCGUGUCCCCUCCCGUGUCCCUCCUGUGUCCCCCUCGUGUCCCCACAGGGAGAUGUGGUGAAUUACGACGAGAUCAAGCGCUUCAUCCGCCAGGAGCUGAACAAGAUGUUCGACGGUAACUGAGCGUGGUGACAAGGCCUGGGGACCCUCCCCGUGUCCCCACCCUGUCCCCGCCGGCUGAGCUCCGUUUUUGUC